RNAcentral lists this ribosomal RNA (200 nucleotides) under uncultured bacterium. RNAcentral describes it as "partial 16S ribosomal RNA". It matches the Rfam family "Bacterial small subunit ribosomal RNA", at positions 30 to 221 of the family's 1533-position model. The record is from RNAcentral.
AUUGAACGCUGGCGGAAUGCUUUACACAUGCAAGUCGAACGGCAGCACGGGAGCUUGCUCCUGGUGGCGAGUGGCGAACGGGUGAGUAAUACAUCGGAACGUACCCAGUUAUGGGGGGAUAACUAACCGAAAGGUUAGCUAAUAACCGCAUACGCCCUCGAGGGGGGAAAGGACGGGGGACCGGUAAGGCCUCGCGUAAU